This 1127-nucleotide long non-coding RNA is filed under the name Homo sapiens (human). RNAcentral describes it as "HSALNT0354513". Lineage: Eukaryota; Metazoa; Chordata; Mammalia; Primates; Hominidae. The record is from RNAcentral.
GUGCCUGGCAGGGUCUACAUUUUUAUCAGUUCUGGAAGAGCCAGGAUUUUGCCUUUAUUAGGUUUGCCAUUUCACCCGGUAGAAGGUGGAGAACUAAAUCCCAGGAGCUUUGGGGGUCCCUUCCUGCUCUGACUUUGGGUGGUUUUGCAAGGUUCACUCCCAGAGAAAGGGAAAGGUCCCAUUAUCACAUGGUGGUGUGAAUCGGAAUAAGACAACAGCAAAAAACAACUCCCACCAUCCCCCAACUUUUACUAUCUCUGGGGCCUCUUCUGAAUCUCUCUGCAGAGAGAGAUCAGGGAUGCCCCGAAAUUGAGAUUGUGGUCGAGGACUGAGACCAAGUUAUUCACAACAUGGUUAUAUAAUGGAUGCUCAGUCAUAUCAGGACUCAGAAGAUGUGAAGGGCCCCGCCCUGCAAGCUGUUUGAAGGUCAUGAUGGCUUCGCAGUGAUGGGAAACAAGGCCAGUGUCUCUGUUUGUGGGUUCCCUGCACCAAGGGUAUAAUUCACUGGGGCUCUUCCCACCAUGGCCUGGCCAUGUCUCCACCCACCCACCCACCACCUGACUCCUGGAGAAUGGGGGGGAAACUUUUAUACUUAAUUUUUUUUUGUCUUCUCCUCUUUUUCUGUGUUUUCUUCAAAUUUGUUAUAAGGGGGCAGCUUGGCAGAGGAAAUGUGGUAGUGGCCUGAGGCCUUGGGGCUGAAAGAGCCCGGGGUCUGAAAUCAUCAGAAUUGUCUCCAGAUGAAUUGAAACUGAGAUGGAAAGCAGCAUAUGACUCAUCGUGGCUCCAGGAUAGGCCAUAUCACUUCCUGGAAAGUUCUGUCCAUUCCCAUGCUCCCAUGGACAACUGAGAGUGAGGACAUAAGUGAGUGUUAUGAUUAUGUGCUCUUCUAGCAAUUAUCCUUUAAUGGUAUAUAGAACCCCAAAUCCCAGGCUCCAUGAGCAGCAGAGCAGCAGAGUGGCACAGCAGAGGAGAGAAGAAGCAUCUGAACGUGGUGAGGAGUUUGGCUAUGGACAGUCAGAAAGGAGUUCAUCCUGGGACGGCUGAACUCCAGGGGAAGAUUAUCUUCCCAUUGCAUCCCCUUUCCAGCUCCCUAUGCCACUGAAAGCCACCCUGUCACUCAAUAAAAA